Molecule: transfer RNA, 73 nt
Filed under: Armatimonadota bacterium
Lineage: Bacteria; Bacillati; Armatimonadota
Description: tRNA-Trp
Rfam family: tRNA
About the family: Transfer RNA (tRNA) molecules are approximately 80 nucleotides in length.
Source: RNAcentral
ACGGGCAUAGCUCAGUUGGUAGAGCACCGGUCUCCAAAACCGUGGGUCGGGGGUUCGAGUCCCUCUGCCCGUG